Molecule: ribosomal RNA, 632 nt
Filed under: uncultured Actinomycetes bacterium
Lineage: Bacteria; Bacillati; Actinomycetota; Actinomycetes
Description: bacterial SSU rRNA
Rfam family: Bacterial small subunit ribosomal RNA
Source: RNAcentral
CGCGGCCUAUCAGCUUGUUGGUGAGGUAACGGCUCACCAAGGCAUCGACGGGUAGCUGGUCUGAGAGGACGAUCAGCCACACUGGGACUGAGACACGGCCCAGACUCCUACGGGAGGCAGCAGUAGGGAAUCUUGCGCAAUGGGCGAAAGCCUGACGCAGCAACGCCGCGUGGGGGAUGAAUGCCUUCGGGUUGUAAACCCCUUUCAGCAGGGACGAAAAUGACGGUACCUGCAGAAGAAGCUCCGGCCAACUACGUGCCAGCAGCCGCGGUAAUACGUAGGGAGCGAGCGUUGUCCGGAAUUAUUGGGCGUAAAGAGCACGUAGGCGGUUCAGUAAGUCGGGUGUGAAAACUCAAGGCUCAACCUUGAGACGCCACUCGAUACUGCUGUGACUUGAGUCCGGUAGAGGAGUGUGGAAUUCCUGGUGUAGCGGUGAAAUGCGCAGAUAUCAGGAGGAACACCAGCGGCGAAGGCGGCACUCUGGGCCGGUACUGACGCUGAGGAGCGAAAGCAUGGGGAGCAAACAGGAUUAGAUACCCUGGUAGUCCAUGCCGUAAACGUUGGGCACUAGGUAUGGGAUCAUAUCAACGGAUUCCGUGCCGUAGCUAACGCAUUAAGUGCCCCGCCUGGGG